AGAGGGACUAUGUGUAUUGAAACACAUGGAAGUUUGAGGCAAUAACAGGUCUGUGAUGCCCUUAGAUGUGGUCGGCCGCACGCGCGUUACAAUGAUAAAUUCAGAAAGUUUACCUGGUUCGGAAGAAUUCAGGGUAAUCUUUGUAAUAUUUAUCGUGUUAGGGAUCGAUCUUUGCAAUUAUAGAUCUUGAACGAGGAAUGCCUAGUAAGUGCGCUUCAUCAGAGCGUACUGAUUACGUCCCUGUCCUUUGUACACACCGCCCGUCGCUCCUACCGAUUUCGAAUUAUCCGGUGAAUCUUCUGGACUGAAGUAGCAAUACAUCGGGAAGUUAGAUAAACCUUAUAAUUUAGAGGAAGGAGAAGUCGUAACAAGGUUUCCGU
RNAcentral lists this ribosomal RNA (380 nucleotides) under Prymnesium parvum. Its description in RNAcentral is "partial Eukaryotic small subunit ribosomal RNA". It matches the Rfam family "Eukaryotic small subunit ribosomal RNA", at positions 1413 to 1806 of the family's 1831-position model. Lineage: Eukaryota; Haptophyta; Prymnesiales; Prymnesiaceae. The record is from RNAcentral.